AGGGAAUCUUCCGCAAUGGACGAAAGUCUGACGGAGCAACGCCGCGUGAGUGAUGAAGGUCUUCGGAUCGUAAAACUCUGUUGUCAGGGAAGAACAAGUUGUGUUCUAACAGGACAUGACCUUGACGGUACCUGACCAGAAAGCCCCGGCUAACUACGUGCCAGCAGCCGCGGUAAUACGUAGGGGGCAAGCGUUGUCCGGAAUUAUUGGGCGUAAAGCGCGCGCAGGCGGUCCUUUAAGUCUGAUGUGAAAGCCCACGGCUUAACCGUGGAGGGUCAUUGGAAACUGAGGGACUUGAGUACAGAAGAGGAGAGUGGAAUUCCACGUGUAGCGGUGAAAUGCGUAGAGAUGUGGAGGAACACCAGUGGCGAAGGCGACUCUCUGGUCUGUAACUGACGCUGAGGUGCGAAAGCGUGGGUAGCAAAC
Molecule: ribosomal RNA, 426 nt
Filed under: uncultured bacterium
Lineage: Bacteria
Description: bacterial SSU rRNA
Rfam family: Bacterial small subunit ribosomal RNA
Source: RNAcentral